Molecule: long non-coding RNA, 2309 nt
Organism: Ziziphus jujuba (common jujube)
Lineage: Eukaryota; Viridiplantae; Streptophyta; Magnoliopsida; Rosales; Rhamnaceae
Exons: 2
Source: RefSeq, a predicted model, not a curated record
UGAUCAUGGUUUAAGAGGAAGCUAAUUUAACCCGCCUGAAGAUCGUUUCUAGAUUGAAACAAUACUUCAAACCAGCCAUAUAUUAAAUUUGUUUGUAUUACAGGAUCGGGGUCUUGACUAGGGUACAGUGAUAAUGACAUACCGCGUUCUGUGAGAGUAUGUAGGUCUCCAUUUCAAUUCCUGUCUGAGAACUUAAAUAAUAGAAAAUAAAAGUCAAUAAAUAAAUAUAUAUAUUAGUACGUAGCUUGGCAUAUCGAAUGGUGGAAAAUAGCCCUCUGAAAAAUUGUAAAUGAAAGACUGAAUUGAUGCAGUGGGACAGUGGAUUAUGAGGUGGAACUUUUUUUUCUCGGUGGGUUUCUUCUUAUGUUGAAACAAAUUCACUCAGAGAUGAUUAAGAACCAGCACAUUUGAUUCAUCCCCUGAAGACAAUGUGUGCUGUACUUCUGAGGGUUCUUUUUUGAAAGCAAGAAUUCCUCAGUUUGAACACAUUCAUUAUGAAUAAACUGCCAACGGUUUUGCAGACAUGGAGAGAGAGCUGACUCAGAGACUGAAAAUGAGUUCAAUGUUAUAUAUUGACUAGUCCUUUAUUGUGGCUACUCCAUCAAUCACAUAUCCUUUUUUAAUGUUGUCAAGAAAUUUAAAAAAAAAAAAAAAUUGAAAUUAUAAUAGAUACAUGUGGAACAAGUUUAUGACAGUAACUUUGGGAAAGUUCUGAACUCCUUCUCCUGGGGUCGAAAUUGUUUUCUGCAACAAGAUAUUUGAUUUGUUAAAAAAACAGAUUUUUUUUUUUUUUAUAGGUGUGACCGUAAAUGGCAUGCAUUAAAUCUGUAGUAGAAGCUGAUAGGAGGGGUUGUGUUGUUUAGCGAGAGGGAGCACAUGAUGUUGGGCCAAGAAGGCUCACUCAAACACUCUCUCUCUCUCUCUCUCUCUCUCACACACGCACAAACAGUCAUGGGUGGAUGAGUGAUGAGAGACAGCAAAGAAGAAGCUAGUUGGUGACACCUCAAGGCACUCAUAUGCAUCGCAGCCCACCAACCAUUCGCGUCCGCAAUGAUUUGAUUGGACACACUUAGCUCCCUCUGCACGUGCACCAGUCAGGUUUUCUUAGCUGUCAAACCCUGCUCGACCUUUUAACUUUUCCAAUUCACCCAAAAAAACCCACCUCCCCAUCACUUCCUAUUAAUUCCUCCCCAUGCCUCCCGAGAGGUAGCACUGGUCUGCUCUUUCUUUCUUUUGUUUUCUUUGUUGUUUUUCUCUUUAUUUGUUAAUCGUAGUUUUUCAUUCGUUUGGGUAGUAGUUAGUAUUUUGUAAUUCUUUCUUAAUUGCUUCAUUCAAUCUGGUUCUUGAUCAAUCCCCUAUUGGGCUUUGGCCUUUUUGAGUUUCUUAAAAUGGUUUCCAAGUUGUACUCCAUAAACCCCAUAUGUUACUGUCAAAAUAUCAUCGGGAUAGACUGGAUUUCUGAAGAAAUUCUGCACCAGCUUCACUGUUGCAGGCCUUUGUCAGCCUUGGAAUUGUUAUGACCAACCAUGAUCUUAGUUGGGAUGCUGGUGGUGGGUACUUGCUUUGCAGAGCACAGGAGGGGAGUGCUGGGAGGAGUAUAUGGACAAGAGCAAAGACAGCGUGCUAGGAAGGGAAAAAACAUUGAAGGCUAUUAUAAGGAAAUAAACAGUUUCAAGUUCCCAGAAAGAAGUGUGGACAACCACCAUAGCAUUCCUAGACAGUAUUACAACAAUGAUCCUGAUAACGGUGAUAAUGGAGCUGCAGCCGGAACGCCGUAAUUGGCCCUGCACCUCCACAGCAACGUCUAUGAUCUAUUUAUGUUAUCUACUCUGCUAAUAUUUCCUCUUGUUCUAUAACUAAGGUCCUGUAUGCAAAUAGUUUAUAUUUGGUUUCAAUUGUGUUCAUAAAUGACAGUAAGUGCCAAGCUGUUUGAACUCUAGGCCAAAAGGAACCUGGCCAUACUUUGUGGAGAAGAGAAGUUCUCACGUUAGGAAUGAUUUGGGUAAAGGUAUGAGAAAGGGUCAGAUCAUUUUCCUAUGUUUAUUUGUAAUAAGAUGAAGAUGUUAAGAAGGUGUGCAAAUCAGGAAGUGUUGUCUUGGCAAAAUACUAAAUCAUUAGAAUUACCUUAAUAUAUACAAACCCAUGUUGUGUGUAUCAAUAUUUCUGCAUAAGUCACAUAUCUCGCCUAUUACUGAUUUUAAGUUUUUCUGAUAUUAAAGAUGAGAAAUUUUACGCUUAUGCAUUAGUACUAGUCGAAUACAAAACCACAAGCACUCGAAUUACCUCUUUCAUGAAACAACACCCCCCCC